RNAcentral lists this ribosomal RNA (404 nucleotides) under uncultured bacterium. RNAcentral's name for it is "bacterial SSU rRNA". It matches the Rfam family "Bacterial small subunit ribosomal RNA", at positions 355 to 776 of the family's 1533-position model. The record is from RNAcentral.
UGGGGAAUAUUGCACAAUGGGGGAAACCCUGAUGCAGCGACGCCGCGUGAAGGAAGAAGUAUUUCGGUAUGUAAACUUCUAUCAGCAGGGAAGAAAUUGACGGUACCUGACUAAGAAGCCCCGGCUAACUACGUGCCAGCAGCCGCGGUAAUACGUAGGGGGCAAGCGUUAUCCGGAUUUACUGGGUGUAAAGGGAGCGUAGGCGGCAUGGCAAGUCAGAUGUGAAAGGCAUGGGCUCAACCCGUGGACUGCAUUUGAAACUGUCAGGCUUGAGUGCAGGAGAGGCAAGUGGAAUUCCUAGUGUAGCGGUGAAAUGCGUAGAUAUUAGGAGGAACACCAGUGGCGAAGGCGACUUGCUGGACUGUAACUGACGCUGAGGCUCGAAAGCGUGGGGAGCGAACAGG